Molecule: non-coding RNA, 4444 nt
Organism: Anas platyrhynchos (mallard)
Lineage: Eukaryota; Metazoa; Chordata; Aves; Anseriformes; Anatidae
Source: RefSeq, a predicted model, not a curated record
GCAGAGCUGCAGGAGGAGUUUAAGUUUCAGGGCUUCCUCUCCGUGUCGCACAGGCACGCACGCACGCGCCGCCCGUGUGCCUGGGUGUACGCACGCCUGCCGACGGCCGCGGCCUUUCCUUUGGGCAGCGAGUUGGGUUUCUGCCUUCGUGCAAUCUUACUUGCUUUCUUUUCUAGGCUGGCAGCUCCGAUUCUGUCUUCGCUAAAAUGAACAAGCCAAGGCUCUUCUACAGCACCUAUUCAACACGGUACUCCAGAACACGCUAGGGCAGGGAAUCCUGUUCCUCCUUAUCACUUCCCUGUCUCGGGGAUUUUGGUUUUGAUUCCAUAUUAACCUGCUUUCUUAUGAAAGCUCAGGCUACAGUCAAAUUGUCCUUAUUGAGUAUACUUAACCCUACCUCUGUUCUUGAGCCUUUUUUCUUCUUAGCUGUAUUGUACAAGGGAAAAAAAAAAACACAUUCAUGUUCUUCAAGGACAGAGCUGGCUUCCAAUGCAAUGGGGUAACAGAAGCAGAUCGAGGACCACUGGCAGGACCCACAGACACCUCCCUUCCUCCUCCCAGUCCCCUUUCCAUCAGCUGUGCACUCUGCUCCAUCCUAAUGAUGGCUUGCAGCCCUGCUUAUCUGAGCCACACGUGGAGGUAGUCACUAUGCGUGCACACAGCAGAAGAGACCCACGGCAGAAGGAGCACGUAUUUAGAAAACAGAGAGAGGCAAAAGGUUGAGAAGGGAAAUAACCUUGCAUCUUCAUACAAACACAGCUAAUUUACCUGACCAAGGUUGCUUCCCAUGUCCACAGCAAAGCCAAAAGCAGAAAUUAGAUUUCAGUGUCUUGCUGAAGUGAACAUCAGGCUCCCCCUCCAGUGCACCUCAGUAGCAAGGACGUUUCUUCCAGCUGAUCACCCUUGGUGGGUAUUGGGAUACGCCGUGACAGAAGCACUGUUUGCUUCUCGGGAAAAUAAAAACUCCUGCUGGCAAUAGCAUCAGCUCCAGAGGAAGCCACGCGUGGAAGUGGGGCUUUACUGGUUGGUGUGGGAGGAGAGGAGAGGAUGCGCUUACCAAGUUCAUCUCAAGGCUUCUGAGGAUGAAUAACAGGAGGUGCUACCGUGGUUGAACUUUCUACCAUCAAUACCUCAUCCACCGACAUCUCGAGAGAGACGUUUUUUAUUCCUCCUGUACCAACCCAAAGCUACCUAUCCUGCGCUGGAGAGAAACCACACAGUCCCAAGGCACCUGCAACACGCUGCGCACAGAUCUCAGAGGGAUGCAGUGCUGUGCACGUGGUGACAAUGCACAAGAUGACCUCACUGUCCUUUUCUUUCCUCUUUACGGUCUGUCCUCAGCGGAUGAAACCAGAGACUGAGACACUAAGAUCAGAGCCAAGACAAGAGAAACGUCUCUCGUGACAACAAAGACGCACUGCCCAGGUGAGAGCCGAGUUCAUGGACACUGCUGUGGCUCCUGCAGAGCAGGGACCCAGACAGAGACACAUCUGCUACCUAGGAAAGCUCGCUGGCAUAAGGACUCCCCAGAUUGCACUUGAUGUCAGCAGAGUGUCAGCUGAUCUUUUGGCAGCUGGCCUGCUCGUGUCUAUCCACUUCUGUUCUCUUUUUCUCCGUAAUGCCAACAUCUGCCCAUGUUUUGCAUUGACAGGGACGGUCAGCAAGCCCCUAAUAACGCAUUAAACCUCAAUCAAAUGACGCACCAUUUCCGAUUAACAUCUGCCCAAUAUUACUCUCCUUAAUUCAGAGCUCUGCCUCUUCCUAAAAAACUAGAUAGUGCACGUGUGGAAGCAUCUGUAAUCUCAAGCGUCACGUACUUGCCUUGAAAAUCAGAAAAAUCAAAAAUAACAGAGAAGGCACUGCAGAAAACACCUGGUCUCCCCAGGCCUCUGAGAAUAUUAUAGUUUGUUCCACCAACACAGACACAGUUUUCCCAUUCCAAACCAUCUUUAUUUUUCUCUACAAUGCACAACUACCUCUCUGUUUCAAACCAGCAUGCCCUGGUUGCAGCGCUGGUACAAUGAUUUCAGCUGAAUCCAACAAAAGAGAUGACCAAACCCAGGUGUAAACUCGUUUUGAGGCACUUAGAUGUUACCAUAUGACUUAAACAUGACAUUUCCUUGCACCAUCAAACAAAACACUGUAGUCUGGUGGGAAUUGUCUACAUCCACUCAUUUUGCUUAUUCACUAUACCCUACACAUUUCUGAGUUAAUUUCUUCUUGCUGUCUUCACAUUGCAGGACUUGCAGGUCUCAUGCCAGUCUUUGAGACCUGUGAGCGGUAGGUUCUUAAAAUGCCCCCGAAAGAACAAUUGCUCGUGCUGGAGAAAGAAAGUAGAAGUCAAGACUUGCUGUUUUCUCAAUGCCAUCUGCUGCGCUGCAUAAACUAAAUUAAAAAAAAAAAAUCAAUGUAAAACUGUGAAUGUGAAGCUGGCCAAUUUUGCCUGCUAUUCCUCAGCAUUUUUUCAAUAAAACGUACUCCGCCUUAUUUGCACGAAGAAAGAACUGCGAUGCAAGAUUUCUGUGUCUGCAUGACAGCUUCUCAGUGCUUUGUCUUGUCUUCUCAACUCAUCUGUACUCCUUUGCAAGUUAACCAGCUCCGAUUUUUAGCAGGGAAAUCAUCUGCUGUUACGUUCCUCAUUAGUAAGGUCAUGACUAACGUACCUACCUAGGCACGUCAGGGACCUCGUCCUGUUAGUCCUAUUCUUGGUGUCCUUUGCCCUUGCCUCGCAAACAAAGCCCUGUUAUCAGUACAGUAUGAUACAGCACUACACCAAGAGCUAAGAGGAGCCCCAAACGCAUGUGGAGAAGUAACAGAUCUAAUAAGGAGGAAAGCCAAAGUUGAAUCUUUUUCAUUUUUCUCUCUCCAAGUUCAUUAUUUCUUCUUUCAAAAUAAAUUAUGUAACAAUUCAAUCAGAAAGAGCUAUCCAGAAGCUCACAAAAUUGCCUCGUGUGAAUCCAGCCUCUAUUUGUGGUGCACCAUAAAUUAUUCCCCAGAUUAAUGCCACCAAGUAUCACUGGGACCAUCCGAAGAUUAGGGUACCGCACACGCUGGACUGCGGAUCAGAAUCGAGACCAGUAGGAGCUUGAGGUGGAAAAGCUUAUUAAAAACACUUAUGAUGGAAAAAACGUUUAUUUCAUGAUUACUCUAAAUUUUGACAUUCAGAACUUAAUUGACUUUAGAUCAUUUGGGAUUUUUCCCAAAAUCAGACCGUGGAAAAAAAAACAACAAUGGUAACUGUGCUACUUAGAAGUAAUAUUUUGACAUCUGUAUCCUGUGAUUCUACAAAGUCUCCAUCCACUCAGUUUCCUAUCAAGUGUAAGGCACAUACGUUCAUUCACAGAUUGUAGUGAUAGGACAAGGGGCAAUGGCUUUAAACGAGAAGAGGUGAGGUUUAAAUUAAGUAUUUGGAAGAAAUUUUUUACUGUGAGGGUGGUGAGGCCCUGGCACAGGCUUGCCCAGAGAAGAUGUGGCUGCCCAUCCUGGAGGUGUUCAAGGCCAGGCUGGAUGGGGCCUUGAGCAACCUGAUCUAGGUGGGAGGUGCCCCAGUCUUAAUUUCUGCUUAGUGCAUUAACAUUGGAUGAGCUUUCUUUCGAGACAGUGUUGAGCAAUUUUGAGAGAAUCCUUGGUUUUGGAAGGAAGACAUCUGCUUAUCUACCAUCCAACCCUUGUAAGGCUGGUUCGAACCAACUGCAGAACUAUUUAAAGAACCAUUGAAUAAAUGGCAGUCCCAUUCUUACAAAGACGCACUCCAAAAGCCAUUUGCUUUUGCAAAUUGGGGAUUUCAAACACUCGUGAAAUAAUUCUAGAGAUAAAGAAGAUCUACUGAAAAGGGCUGACUGUAAGUCACGAUCACUGAUGCAAGUGUAAGCCAGCAACAUCCAUAAAGACAAGGAGUGUAAAAAAUAUUGCAUCGAUUACUAUAGCUCCAAAUAGCAUUAAUUCUCUGCUAAUUUCUCUUGGGAGAAAUUUCUCUUCAUCAGAGGGCUUCUGAAAUGAAACACAGUACAUUCUUCUUUGCUGAUUGUAUCGAGAUUGAAUGGAGACACCGAGCUGAACAAAGAGAACGAAGACGGAGCACCUGAACUGCACCAAGUCUUCAAUGCGAUCAGAGACAGAAAUUGUCUCCCUGACACAAGAACAGUCAUUUCCAGCUUCAGAACCACUCAUUUUGCCCGAGAACCAGCGAACUAUCCCUAGCUCCGUUAAUUACUGUAGAGCACUGGCUCACUGAGGAAAUCACCCGUAAGGAUGAAUACUGGUGUUAAGCCUCAGCUUCCUCCAGUCCUGCCCAGGCACAGCAGGAUCCCGUAAUUGUGUGAUCCAAACCCCUAACUAGGGACGGACUCUUAAAAUAGGGCUCUUAAAACAGCAUAACAGCUGUGGCUAAGGUGGGAAAGGAAACUGACACAAUAACAUUAAAAUUAAAGGAAGACGAGUAAAA